UACGUAGGGAGCGAGCGUUGUCCGGAAUCAUUGGGCGUAAAGCGCGUGUAGGCGGUUACAUAAGUCUGUUGUGAAAGUCGGAGGCUCAACCUUCGAAAGCCGAUGGAUACUGUGUGACUUGAGUACGGAAGAGGAGAGUGGAAUUCCUGGUGUAGCGGUGAAAUGCGCAGAUAUCAGGAAGAACACCCGUGGCGAAAGCGGCUCUCUGGAACGGUACUGACGCUGAGACGCGAAAGCGUGGGGAGCGAACAGG
This 253-nucleotide ribosomal RNA is filed under the name uncultured bacterium. RNAcentral's name for it is "partial 16S ribosomal RNA". It matches the Rfam family "Bacterial small subunit ribosomal RNA", at positions 524 to 776 of the family's 1533-position model. The record is from RNAcentral.